RNAcentral lists this microRNA precursor (62 nucleotides) under Microtus ochrogaster (prairie vole). RNAcentral's name for it is "miRNA (ENSMOCG00000005619.1)". The record is from RNAcentral. Lineage: Eukaryota; Metazoa; Chordata; Mammalia; Rodentia; Cricetidae.
CCUGAAUGGUGGGUGGUGAGACAGAGAGCCUAGCGUGGCUCCCUGACUCUGGCCUUCCACAG